GGGGCUGUAGCUUAGUGGUAGAGUGCCUGCCUAGCACGUGUGAGACACUGAGUUCGAUCCUCAGCACCACA
RNAcentral lists this transfer RNA (71 nucleotides) under Marmota monax (woodchuck). RNAcentral describes it as "tRNA.Ala". It matches the Rfam family "tRNA". From Rfam's summary of the family: Transfer RNA (tRNA) molecules are approximately 80 nucleotides in length. Their secondary structure includes four short double-helical elements and three loops (D, anti-codon, and T loops). The record is from RNAcentral. Lineage: Eukaryota; Metazoa; Chordata; Mammalia; Rodentia; Sciuridae.